AAAAAGGCAAACCGUGGGUUUCCGUGCCAACGUUUGACUGUCCAUCUUAUAUGAAAAUUUUUUAUAAUUAGUAUUUUUAUUGUUUUUAGAUGAUAAAACAUGAUUAAUAUUUUAUGCAUGACUUAUAUUUUUAACUUUUUUCAUAAUUUUUUAAAUAAGGCGGACGGUCAAAGAUUGAACAACCAGUUAGU
Non-coding RNA from Oryza nivara, 191 nucleotides. NCBI's taxonomy places the organism in Eukaryota, Viridiplantae, Streptophyta, Magnoliopsida, Poales, Poaceae. The record is from Rfam.